RNAcentral lists this ribosomal RNA (497 nucleotides) under uncultured bacterium. RNAcentral describes it as "partial 16S ribosomal RNA". It matches the Rfam family "Bacterial small subunit ribosomal RNA", at positions 28 to 507 of the family's 1533-position model. The record is from RNAcentral.
GAUGAACGCUGGCGGCGUGCCUAAUACAUGCAAGUCGAGCGAACAGACGAGGAGCUUGCUCCUCUGACGUUAGCGGCGGACGGGUGAGUAACACGUGGAUAACCUACCUAUAAGACUGGGAUAACUUCGGGAAACCGGAGCUAAUACCGGAUAAUAUAUUGAACCGCAUGGUUCAAUAGUGAAAGACGGUUUUGCUGUCACUUAUAGAUGGAUCCGCGCCGCAUUAGCUAGUUGGUAAGGUAACGGCUUACCAAGGCAACGAUGCGUAGCCGACCUGAGAGGGUGAUCGGCCACACUGGAACUGAGACACGGUCCAGACUCCUACGGGAGGCAGCAGUAGGGAAUCUUCCGCAAUGGGCGAAAGCCUGACGGAGCAACGCCGCGUGAGUGAUGAAGGUCUUCGGAUCGUAAAACUCUGUUAUUAGGGAAGAACGAAUGUGUAAGUAACUAUGCACGUCUUGACGGUGCCUAAUCAGAAAGCCACGGCUAACUACGUG